GCCCCCGUAGCUCAGUAAUGGAUAGAGCAAGGGAUUCCUAAUCCCUGUGUCCCGAGUUCGAGUCUCGGCGGGGGCGCCA
RNAcentral lists this transfer RNA (79 nucleotides) under Pseudomonadota bacterium. RNAcentral describes it as "tRNA-Arg". It matches the Rfam family "tRNA". From Rfam's summary of the family: Transfer RNA (tRNA) molecules are approximately 80 nucleotides in length. Lineage: Bacteria; Pseudomonadati; Pseudomonadota. The record is from RNAcentral. RNAcentral also lists the same sequence under 4 other names.